This 73-nucleotide transfer RNA is filed under the name Marmota monax (woodchuck). RNAcentral describes it as "tRNA.Ala". Lineage: Eukaryota; Metazoa; Chordata; Mammalia; Rodentia; Sciuridae. The record is from RNAcentral.
GGGGUUGUGGCUCGGUGGUAGAGCAUGCGCGCCUAGCAUGUGCGAGGCCCUGGGUUCGAUCCUCCGCACCACA